UUUCCGUAGGUGAACCUGCGGAAGGAUCAUUGUCGAAACCUUCGAGGCAGAACGACCCGCGGACGAGUGAAAACGAGCGCGGGCGGCGGGCCUCUGGGCCGUCGCCCGACGUCCGCGGGGAGGGGCCGCGGGCAACCGCAACUCCUCUCCCGCGGGCACGAACAACGACCCCCGGCGCGAAUUGCGUCAAGGAACACGGAAAAGGAUGCGCGAUCCCCUCGUCCCGGAAACGGUGUCGCGGGGGGGUCUGCGUCGUCGUCGAUACGACAGACGAAACGACUCUCGGCAACGGAUAUCUCGGCUCUCGCAUCGAUGAAGAACGUAGCGAAAUGCGAUACUUGGUGUGAAUUGCAGAAUCCCGUGAACCAUCGAGUUUUUGAACGCAAGUUGCGCCCGAAGCCGUCAGGCCGAGGGCACGCCUGCCUGGGUGUCACGCAAAGUCGCCACGAACCCACUCACCCCCCGCCCCUUCCGCGGGGAACGUUGAGGGACGGCGGAUAUUGGCCUCCCGUGGGCUCCCGCUCGCGGUUGGUCCAAAAAACGGUCCCCUGGCGACGGCAGCCACGGCACGCGGUGGUUGGCAGAACGAGCUCCUCUAACACCGUCGUGGGCGAGCCUCGUCGAUGGGGGUGCGAACGACCCCGGCGCGAGCGCCACUGUAAAAGCGACCCCAGGUCCCAGGCGGGAACACCCGCUGAGUUUAAG
Molecule: ribosomal RNA, 705 nt
Filed under: Maytenus elliptica
Lineage: Eukaryota; Viridiplantae; Streptophyta; Magnoliopsida; Celastrales; Celastraceae
Description: eukaryotic LSU rRNA
Rfam family: 5.8S ribosomal RNA (bases 278-433)
Source: RNAcentral